Molecule: ribosomal RNA, 229 nt
Filed under: uncultured bacterium
Lineage: Bacteria
Description: partial 16S ribosomal RNA
Rfam family: Bacterial small subunit ribosomal RNA
Source: RNAcentral
CUCGUAGGCGGUCUGUCGCGUCGGAUGUGAAAACCUGGAGCUCAACUCCGGGCCUGCAUUCGAUACGGGCAGACUAGAGUUCGGUAGGGGAGAUUGGAAUUCCUGGUGUAGCGGUGGAAUGCGCAGAUAUCAGGAGGAACACCGAUGGCGAAGGCAGAUCUCUGGGCCGAUACUGACGCUGAGGAGCGAAAGCAUGGGGAGCAAACAGGAUUAGAUACCCUGGUAGUCC